GACAGAGGGUGCAAACGUUGUUCGGAAUUACUGGGCGUAAAGCGCGUGUAGGCGGCCGCGUGUGUCGGGCGUGAAAUCCCACGGCUCAACCGUGGAAGUGCACUCGAAACUGCGCAGCUAGAGUCCUGGAGAGGAAGGUGGAAUGCUUGGUGUAGAGGUGAAAUUCGUAGAUAUCAAGCGGAACACCGGUGGCGAAGGCGGCCUUCUGGACAGUGACUGACGCUGAAGCGCGAAAGCGUGGGGAGCAAACGGG
Molecule: ribosomal RNA, 253 nt
Filed under: uncultured bacterium
Lineage: Bacteria
Description: partial 16S ribosomal RNA
Rfam family: Bacterial small subunit ribosomal RNA
Source: RNAcentral